Molecule: long non-coding RNA, 1983 nt
Organism: Oreochromis niloticus (Nile tilapia)
Lineage: Eukaryota; Metazoa; Chordata; Actinopteri; Cichliformes; Cichlidae
Source: Ensembl
AUGCUGUGGGAGUGUCUGGUCGGGUGUGAUCCAGGUUCCUGUUGUCCAUCCCCUGGGAUGGAGUUGGCCAGCUCAUCACCUGCUUCCAAUUUCCAGGCCUCCUUCUGGAGGGUUUUUAAGCCAGCGUUGCCUGCCAAUCCUCGCCAGUUUUCUCUCUCUCCAGUGUUCUCCAGAUACAUCACCCGUCGUGCUCAUCAGCAGCGCUGGUUCUGUUUUCACUCCGUUCUCCAGUCUACCUGGAACCCUAGGACUACAUACUCACGAUCUCCUCGGCCUGCCCUCCUGCCCGUGCUUCCAAGGUGGAUCUCUCUCCCCUGGACACACUGGAACCUGGACCAGCUUCCCCGCAUCCUCAGCCAUCCCUGGGACACUCCCACGGCAACCCCUCCUCUGCCUAAUAGCCGGUGUUUCCAAAUGGUUCCCGCCCGUGUUCUCCUUGUGUUCCACGUCCAUUUUCUCCAUCCUCUGGUCUCCCUGAGUUCCUGUGUAUAGUUUCUGUUAGACCCACCCUUGUUUAAGUACUUUCUCCCUUCAAUAAAAUUGUACAUAGUUUGAGCAAUUGAGUCUGCUCUUGAGUCCACAGCAUUCUUGUUUGUGACAAUACUCUGAUGAAAAGGGUUCUAGUCCGUUUUUCUAGUCUGCAUGCAGAAACUGAGAUUUCAAAAUCUUCACCCCUCAGUGGUCCAUAACACCAAUUACAUGGAUGAUGGGCUAGAUAUACAAAAAAAGCGGCGUUGGUACACUUGGUGAUGGCUACCAAAUAUCAACUGGUUGAGGAGCAACUUGCUACAGGACAUUUAAACAAAUAUUAGUGGGGAUGAGUGAAUGCAAAUUUCUGACAACAACUGUACAUAUAUUUGAUAAAAAUGGGUAUAACCCCCCCCCCCAAAAAAAACCAAAACAAAACUAUAGAGUCUAGUUAAAUUGGUAUUAACCGUUUUUCUGCAUGAUAGAAAUAGUGAAAGCACUUCUGGAACUCCAGUCCAGCUGAAGUGAACGCUCCUCACUUUUAUAGUAUUUGUUGUCUACUUUCUCCUAGUUGCACAUGUUUGAUAAACACCGUGUAAGAUUGAUAAUGCCAAGAGAGUUCAUUUAGGAUCAAAUUUGACCAAAACCUUUUUUGCCCUAAGACCAUGCAAUAUUGCUUCUACCUCAUCCUGGUCUGGAUUUUUCUUUAAUUUGAUUAUAUUAAAAACCAAAACCAUGUAGGGGAUAGUUAAAGCUUUGGUUCUCUAGCUAAAGUCAGUUCAGUCUUAUCCCAAAGGUCUAUCAGCUGAUGAUUCAUGUUGGUGCUCUGUCUGUGUUUUCCAGCUAAGAGUGAGAUUACAAAGAGUUUUUGGACAUCCUCUCGUUGCCAUGACAAAUAAACAGCAACCACUCCAACUUUGUGUGUGUCUUAGCUCGAGGACCACUUGGGCUAACCUCCUCCUGGACACUAUCUGAUGGUGUGAUAUGGCUUCAAAAGCCAGAGAAAUGUGAGUGUUACAACAGAAGCAGUGAGCCUGUUUUAUGGAAAGCAACUCAAAUUUAGCUUAAUCCCUAAGGAUGUGGUUGCUUGCUAGUUUGGGGAGUUUACUGCUAAUAAACCUGGCUUCUUCCAGCGAGGUAAUUAAGUUGUUAGGCCUCUGGCUGUCUCGUCAGGAUAAACAGGCUGAGGUGGAAGACAGAGAGGAGUGGGAGGGUGAGUCAUGCCGCUUAUGGGCUUAUCAAACACAUCCUUCAGGAAAGAGGGGAGUUCACAAAGAUGACACAAAGAAAGCAGUUUUGUUUAGCGAAGCUUGACUUUGUGUUGCAGAGCGUGACGCUGUGAUGUGCGUUUUUUACUGGGUGGUAGAGUCCUCCUUUAGUCGGUCUGAUUUUCUGACCUGCUGUCAUCAUUCCUCCCUUGAUGUGUGUUCAAAUUGCAGCCUGCAUCAGAUAAGUCAAAUUUUUCAAAUGACUGAAGGCAGACAACCAAAAAAGGGGGAAGAAGUAGAAAAGAAA